UCGAGAAUUUUUCACAAUGGGCGAAAGCCUGAUGGAGCGACGCCGCGUGGGGGAUGAAUGGCUUCGGUCCGUAAACCCCUGUCAUUCGGGAACAAUGCCUGCGGAAUAACACUUCGCAGGUUGAUAGUACUGGAAGAGGAAGGGACGGCUAACUCUGUGCCAGCAGCCGCGGUAAUACAGAGGUCCCAAGCGUUGUUCGGAUUCACUGGGCGUAAAGGGUGCGUAGGUGGCCGGGUAAGUCUGAUGUGAAAUCUCGAAGCUUAACUUCGAAACUGCAUCGGAUACUACUUGGCUAGAGGUCUGGAGGGGGGACUGGAAUUCUCGGUGUAGCAGUGAAAUGCGUAGAUAUCGAGAGGAACGCCAAUGGCGAAGGCUAGUCCCUGGACAGAUCCUGACACUGAGGCACGAAAGCUAGGGGAGCAAACAGG
Molecule: ribosomal RNA, 428 nt
Filed under: uncultured Verrucomicrobiota bacterium
Lineage: Bacteria; Pseudomonadati; Verrucomicrobiota
Description: bacterial SSU rRNA
Rfam family: Bacterial small subunit ribosomal RNA
Source: RNAcentral